This 489-nucleotide ribosomal RNA is filed under the name uncultured bacterium. RNAcentral's name for it is "bacterial SSU rRNA". It matches the Rfam family "Bacterial small subunit ribosomal RNA", at positions 15 to 518 of the family's 1533-position model. The record is from RNAcentral.
GAUUAUGGCUCAGGAUUAACGCUGGCGGCAUGCCUAAUACAUGCAAGUCGAAUGGUUAGCUUGCUAGACCAUGGCGAACGGGUGAGUAACACGUAGGUAACCUACCUUAAGGACGAGGAUAACCUUUGGGAAACGAAGGAUAAUACUGGAUAGGACAUUACAAAGCACAUGCUUAAAUGUUUAAAGGAGCGAAUCCACCAUAAGAGGGGCCUGCGGCGCAUUAGCUAGUUGGUGAGGUAAAGGCCCACCAAGGCGAUGAUGCGUAGCUGGACUGAGAGGUUGAACAGCCACAAUGGGACUGAGAACGGCCCAUACUCCUACGGGAGGCAGCAGUAGGGAAUUUUCGGCAAUGGGCAAAAGCCUGACCGAGCAAUCGGCCGCGUGAUCGAAGAAGUUAUUUCGGUAUGUAAAGAUCUUUUAUCGGGGAAGAAAAGACAGAUUGACUGAACCUGAUGAAUAAGCUCCGGCUAACUACGUGCCAGCCGCUGC